CCUACGGGAGGCAGCAGUGAGGAAUAUUGGUCAAUGGGCGCGAGCCUGAACCAGCCAAGUCGCGUGAGGGAAGACGGUCCUAUGGAUUGUAAACCUCUUUAGUCGGGGAGCAAAAGACGCCACGCGUGGCGUUCCGAGAGUACCCGAAGAAAAAGCAUCGGCUAACUCCGUGCCAGCAGCCGCGGUAAUACGGGGGAUGCGAGGGUUAUCCGGAUUUAUUGGGGUUAAAGGGUGGGAAGGGGGAAGAUCAGGUCGACGGAAAAAUUGAGAGGCUCAACCUCUUCGAGCCGUUGAAACUGGUUAUCUUGAGUGAGCGAGAAGUAUGCAGAAUGCGAGGUGUAGCGGUGAAAUGCAUAGAUAUCACGCAGAACUCCGAUUGCGAAGGCAGCAUACCGGCGCUCAACUGACGCUCAUGCACGAAAGUGUGGGUAUCGAACAGGAUUAGAUACCCCGGUAGUC
Molecule: ribosomal RNA, 459 nt
Filed under: uncultured bacterium
Lineage: Bacteria
Description: partial 16S ribosomal RNA
Rfam family: Bacterial small subunit ribosomal RNA
Source: RNAcentral